AGAAGGUGAAGAUAGAGGCAUUCAAAUAUUUGCAUUCAGAUAGACGUGAAUUCAUGCGAUGGUAUUCAACUUACUCACGAAAAUAGUGUUCUCUUGUUCGAGCUGUGAAAUCUUUAUCUGUGGAGAUAAGCACACAAAAACUUUGAAUAACUCUGCUCCAAACUAUCCAAAAUCUAUGUAUUGAGAAGGCUGUGACCUGUGGCACUUGGAUUGCAGUUCCUGGAAAUGAUUAAACUGUGGUAAAAUGGCAGUAUUUGGACUCAAUUAUUAUUGCUGCAAAUGGAAGACGCAACAAUUGAGAUAUGUCAUCAAAUUGCAAGGAUAUUAUUUACCUCAACUGAGAAGCAUUCUCACAGCAGACGUGUGGACCUCAAGGCGAUUGAAUUUCAAUAAAGUGAAAUUUGUGCUUGUAAAGUGGUAGUAGUUAAUUAGUAGUUUAAGAAACAAACUCAUUUGUGAUGGCAAUUCUAAUUACCUAGAAAUACAAGCGAGCGAGCGAGAAUAA
Drosophila santomea is the source of this 505-nucleotide long non-coding RNA. RefSeq lists it as uncharacterized. The transcript is spliced from 2 exons. The record is from RefSeq and is a predicted model, not a curated record. NCBI's taxonomy places the organism in Eukaryota, Metazoa, Arthropoda, Insecta, Diptera, Drosophilidae.